This 499-nucleotide ribosomal RNA is filed under the name uncultured Glomeromycotina. RNAcentral's name for it is "partial small subunit ribosomal RNA". It matches the Rfam family "Eukaryotic small subunit ribosomal RNA", at positions 591 to 1092 of the family's 1831-position model. Lineage: Eukaryota; Fungi; Glomeromycota. The record is from RNAcentral.
CCAAUAGCGUAUCUUAAAGUUGCUGCAGUUAAAAAGCUCGUAGUUGGAUUUCGGAACCAAUAUGUUGGUUGUGCCUCGGUACGUACUGGCAUUGUUGGUUUCUCCCUUCUGACGAACUAUGAUGUCAUUAAUUUGGUGUCAUGGGGAAUCAGGACUGUUACUUUGAAAAAAUUAGAGUGUUUAAAGCAGGCUCACGCUUGAAUACAUUAGCAUGGAAUAAUGAAAUAGGACGUUUGAUUCUAUUUUGUUGGUUUCUAGGAUUGACGUAAUGAUUAAUAGGGAUAGUUGGGGGCAUUAGUAUUCAAUUGUCAGAGGUGAAAUUCUUGGAUUUAUUGAAGACUAACUACUGCGAAAGCAUUUGCCAAGGAUGUUUUCAUUAAUCAAGAACGAAAGUUAGGGGAUCGAAGACGAUCAGAUACCGUCGUAGUCUUAACCAUAAACUAUGCCGACUAGGGAUCGGAUGAUGUUAAUUUUUUAAUGACUCAUUCGGCGCCUUACG